ACUACGGGUGGCAGCAGUGGGGGAUAUUGCACAAUGGGGGGAACCCUGAUGCAGCGACGCCGCGUGGGUGAAGAAGCGCCUCGGCGCGUAAAGCCCUGUCAGCAGGGAAGAAAAUGACGGUACCUGAAGAAGAAGCCCCGGCUAACUACGUGCCAGCAGCCGCGGUAAUACGUAGGGGGCAAGCGUUAUCCGGAUUUACUGGGUGUAAAGGGGGCGCAGACGGCGAUGCAAGCCAGGAGUGAAAGCCCGGGGCCCAACCCCGGGACUGCUCUUGGAACUGCGUGGCUGGAGUGCAGGAGGGGCAGGCGGAAUUCCUGGUGUAGCGGUGAAAUGCGUAGAUAUCAGGAGGAACACCGGUGGCGAAGGCGGCCUGUUGGACUGCAACUGACGUUGAGGCCCGAAAGCGUGGGGAGCAAACAGGAUUAGAUACCCGAGUAGUC
This 440-nucleotide ribosomal RNA is filed under the name uncultured bacterium. Its description in RNAcentral is "partial 16S ribosomal RNA". It matches the Rfam family "Bacterial small subunit ribosomal RNA", at positions 338 to 795 of the family's 1533-position model. The record is from RNAcentral.